Chrysemys picta bellii (western painted turtle) is the source of this 2295-nucleotide non-coding RNA. NCBI's taxonomy places the organism in Eukaryota, Metazoa, Chordata, Testudines, Emydidae. The record is from RefSeq and is a predicted model, not a curated record.
GAGCCAUUGGCUCGGGGAGACUGAUGGUGGGUGCUUUACUUCAGAUACCCAGAUCCUGAUUCAGCAAAGUACUUUAAGCACAUGCUUAAGUCCCAUUGACUUGCUUUGCCGAAUCAAGGCCACUGAUUUGAAUGUAUUGUCUAUGUUCUGUAACUUUUCAAAAUGAAUAAUGAACAUUGUGUGUAAUAGGUCCCUUGCUGCUAUAAAGCUGUCCAUGUUUUCCACUAAUACAUUUAUCAUUCAAAGGUUGGUGAAAAACCUGAACAGAAGAAAAGAAGGCUGGAUUCCUGUCAACAGUUUGCAGAUAGUAAUCGGCGACUAUAGGUUUCGGACUGCCAAAGUCGCAGAUGCUGCCCUGUGUAACACAAGAAAGUUUAGUUCCCCCUGAAUUAAAGGUGAACUAGUAGCAUCCUAUUUUUGAUGCUCCUUUGGAGACUUUGAACUAGGUGUUACAGAGAAACAGCACCAUAGCUGGAAUUACCCUGUACUAUUCAUCACAUUCACAGAAUUUCACAGCUUCAUCUGCACGGACCGGGACUGCAGUUUGUCACAGUCAUAAACAGUUUGUCAUAGUCAUAAAGGAAGACAUUCUUUGCAACUUCAUUCUCCCCUCUCCCCCCCCCGCGGAAAGCACAGUAUUUUAUUUUUGCCUGCUGUUUUUCCAUGACAUCCAUUAAGUUUCAUCAGAGAAGUAAAUCGACAGUGUCCUGACACUUCAUUUAGGUGCCUGAAAUUGAAUUUACAGGUUGAAAGCUUUACCUAUUUAUUUGUUGUGGUCGAUUGCAAAUGAAAGAGUUCAGUUUUAGUAAACCAAAAAAAUAAAAAAAGCCACCUUUUCUAGUGAAUUCAUCGUAUGGAAUGGGUUUAGAUAUAUUGCAGCUGUGUGAAUGUAAUGUACAGUAAGAUCAUCUUCUGGCUGGGUCAUAUGAUGAUGAUGCAAUAAUGCUAAAGAAUUUCCUUUUGCACUAAAUAGCUGAUUCAAAGCCCAUUGUAGUCAGUAGAAAGACUCCUGUUGAUGUCAAUGGGCUGGGGAUCAGGCCCACGGACUGACAACUCAGGGUUGUCAAGAGUCACUUAGAGUUCCAGGGGUAACACCUGUAUCUAGCAAGUUUACAUGUAAUGUAUUGUCCUUCUGGAACACGUGCCAUAACUAUAAAUUACACGUCCACAUUUGCACUACAGAUGUUCUUCUUCUAAGACUGUACUUGUCAGCAUCUUUAUUGAGAACUUACCUUGUGAAUUUUUGAAAAAAAAGAAUAUUACAAUGUUUCAUAAUUUAUUUUGUCUGUCUAGUUUUCUUUUUGUAAUAUGUAUGUACAGGUGGUUUGACUUUUAAACAGGGCUGUAUAAAGAUAAUUCUGAUUGCAUUGAAAACAGGGUUAGUGGUAUGCAUGCAAUAUCGAAUUUACACACUCUCAUUGGAUUGAAAUGUUUUAUACUGUGGAUUAAUGAGGGACCCUUUUGAUGUGAAUUUGAUUUGUGAACCAGGAAUUCUGAGUUGUAGUGUAAAGUUGUUGUAUAAAACAUCAUUUUUAUUUUCCAGUGCCCGUUUUUGUACAAAGGAAUUCCUGAGCUACUGUAUGACUGUCAUUGGAAUUGUACGGUACAUUUCAUAGCAUGGUAGUACACAGAACUGAUGCUGUUUGGCACGUCUCUGACAUAACAUUACUCAUCCAGCCUCAAAAAUAUGAAACUUGUACAGUAGAUCAGCUGCAUUUGAAUUAAGGAUCACGGCAAAUACUAGAGAUCCCAAUAUUGUCCAAUUACUGGCAUUCUUAAUGAACAGAUUUGAAAUCAUCCAAAUACAUUUCUACCUAUUUUAAAUAGGAUCACAGAGCACUUGUUAAGAGUAAAAAUAAGAUUCUGUUCAAUUACUAUUGGGGCUACUUAUAGUAGUAACAAUUCUUGUGGUAAAAAGUACACAUUUUUGAGGUACAAGUCUAAAUAGCAAUGUCUCAAUCAUAGCAUACAUUGCAUAUUAAAAUGGUUUGAAUUUUCUCUCUCUUCUAUAGUCUUGAAUCUAAGCUUUGACUAAUUUAUGAGACUGAUUAGUUCUGCAAAUCUGACUGUACAAUCUUAGACAUUUUACAUUUGGACCUUUGCACAAUAAGUGUUACGUUACCUUAAGUAUCUGGUUUAAUGAGGGUGUUCAUGUAUAUGGUACUAUCCAGCAGAGGGUUUUCUCUGUCUGCAAAUUUAAAUGAACUAUAUUGUAUAUGUACUUGUAAAAAUGUGUUAAAUCUAUAUUUAAAAAAAUUUAAACAUUGUUAAAUAAAUUCAUAUGAGAACACUUAA